This 665-nucleotide ribosomal RNA is filed under the name uncultured Syntrophorhabdus sp. RNAcentral's name for it is "bacterial SSU rRNA". It matches the Rfam family "Bacterial small subunit ribosomal RNA", at positions 8 to 649 of the family's 1533-position model. Lineage: Bacteria; Pseudomonadati; Thermodesulfobacteriota; Syntrophorhabdia; Syntrophorhabdales; Syntrophorhabdaceae. The record is from RNAcentral.
AGAGUUUGAUCCUGGCUCAGAACGAACGCUGGCGGCGUGCCUAACACAUGCAAGUCGAGCGCGAAAGUCCCUUCGGGGGCGAGUAGAGCGGCGGACGGGUGAGUAAUACAUGGAUAAUCUGCCCUCGAGAUCGGGAUAACCCUGCGAAAGUGGGGCUAAUACCGGAUAAGACCACACAACACAAGUUGUGUGGUAAAAGGUGGCUUGAAUUUAUUCUGGCUAUCACUUGAGGAUGAGUCCAUGGCCUAUCAGCUAGUUGGUGAGGUAAUGGCCCACCAAGGCUAUGACGGGUAGCUGGUCUGAGAGGACAACCAGCCACACUGGGACUGAGACACGGCCCAGACUCCUACGGGAGGCAGCAGUGGGGAAUAUUGGGCAAUGGGCGAAAGCCUGACCCAGCGACGCCGCGUGGGUGAUGAAGGCCCUCGGGUUGUAAAGCCCUUUCGUGCGGAAAGAAUUAUCCCGCAGUUAAUAUCUACGGGAUUUGACGGUACCGCAGGAAGAAGCACCGGCUAACUCCGUGCCAGCAGCCGCGGUAAUACGGAGGGUGCAAGCGUUGUUCGGAAUUAUUGGGCGUAAAGGGCGCGUAGGUGGUUAUGUGUGUCAGAUGUGAAAUACUUCGGCUCAACUGAAGAACUGCAUCUGAAACUGCAUAGCUAGAGUAC